RNAcentral lists this long non-coding RNA (1351 nucleotides) under Anas platyrhynchos platyrhynchos (common mallard). RNAcentral's name for it is "lncRNA (ENSAPLG00000026484.1)". The record is from RNAcentral. Lineage: Eukaryota; Metazoa; Chordata; Aves; Anseriformes; Anatidae.
UGCGCCUCAAUUGCCAGCUUACAGGGUGGCGUGUGAUGGGAUGUGGUAGAGGUAUAUUUGUUAUAAUAUUCAUAAUAUUGUUUGUGAUUUGUCAUUGCAUAAAUAUUCAGCAAAAUAUGGUUCCUUAUUAAGAGCUUAUAGUUUUAGCAUGAGGUGACAAAUAAAAGGGAUAAACAUUUUUUUGUUGUCCUGUGUCUUGAUUUACAUCAUAAGCACUUUGGGCUGGAACCAUCUUUACAUUCUGUCUUUACACAGUGUUUAGCCUACAGUACUCAACCAGGAUCUCAGUUGCUUUUAUAUUACAAAUAGCAAUCGUGUAUCUGUGAAAUGAUACUAACCAGAAGUCACAGUAUAGCAAUAAUCUAUACCCUUGGGGAGUUUUUAUGCAUAGUGCAGUACAAUGGAGUUUUUAGGAGAGACUUGGUGACUAACGAAGCCAUGUUUUUAUAGGAAGAUGGGAGGGUUCUAUGCAUUUGGGCAGCACAGAAGAACUAUUGUUGAAUUAUAUCUGUAAAUAGGUAGCUUAAAUAGUGGCUAAUCAUCCCAUGAAACCUGUUUAAGUGGUGCCAUUAAAUGCAAUGCGUGUGUACGUUCAGGAAUUUCUGUAGCUAAGCAGGUGAGAUUAAUCAUAAUGUUAAUGAGUUUGUCUGUAUGGUAACUUCCUACUGAAAGCUGAAAGUGUGUUUUCUGAACAUCGCUAAUGUUCCUUGUACUUUUGCUGUAUUAUCUUCCCACACCCAUUCUUUUUGUAGGGUGAAAGGGGAUUCCCGGGCUUGGAAGGACAGCCAGGUUUGCCUGGAUUUCCAGGACCAGAAGGGCCUCCUGGUCCAAGAGGUCCAAAGGGUGAUGAUGGACUUCCAGGACCUAUUGGACCCAAAGGAAUUAGAGGACCGCCAGGGCUUCCAGGAUUUCCAGGAACACCAGGACUUCCUGGAUUACCAGGACAAGAUGGGCCACCAGGACCUCAGGGUAUCCCAGGCUGCAAUGGAACUAAGGUGGAAUCCCUUUAAAAUUCGUAUCAGGACAACAGUAAUAUGAUAAAGAGCUCUUGUUCUUCUGAGAAUGGGUUUCGUUUAUUGUGUGAAGUAGCACUUGCUGUUGCUGAUUUGUGCAGGUAAUUCCAGGCACUUCCACAUGCAUCUGAGGGAAGAGGUCAUGAUCUGGUAACUAAAGCACCAGUUGCUGGUGAUAAAUUGCCAGCAUCAAGUCACAUCAUUUGUACUCAGCAACUUCUUUGUUACUUUCAUCCAAUCCUUAAUUUUACAGCUAACAACUGAGAGAAGUGUGUUGUGAUUAGAGUCAUAUGCUGCAUCUGAUCUUUGUAGUAGGGUCUUGCUACCAAGGAAAACAU